AGAUAUACAGUUGAUGGUGGUAAGAAAUGUGCAUAAUAAAAUUAAAAUGUAUAAUUAAAUUAAAACAAAAUUUUAGUUGAGUGAUAAAUUUAAAGGAUUUUUAAUGCAAUUGACAUGUGUUCAAAUCUCACUAUAGUCAUUUUAUAAUUUCUCUAAUCGAAUUGUUGUCUGAUUAACUUAAUCAGAGAUUUUAUUAGUAGUAUAAAAAACAAUAAAGAGAUUUGAACCUACACCCAUCACAUUGCUAAAAACAUUAUAUUUACCACUUAACCAAACAUUUAUUUUGAUUUUUUAUACAUUUUUAUUUUAUUAUGAAUAUUUUAUUAUCUCCAUCAAUUAUAUUUA
RNAcentral lists this microRNA precursor (345 nucleotides) under Gossypium raimondii (Peruvian cotton). RNAcentral's name for it is "miR8770 stem-loop (gra-MIR8770)". The record is from miRBase by way of RNAcentral. Lineage: Eukaryota; Viridiplantae; Streptophyta; Magnoliopsida; Malvales; Malvaceae.